GAGAGAAAAUGACUUCUUCCUCUUCAGAGGAUGAUGUACAAACUUGACAAUGUCUUUCUUUCUUUCUUUUUUAAAUUUGCCAUCCGUCAAGGUCGUUCCUGUUGCGUUUUAGUAAGCUUAUUUUUGUCUCGCUCGCCUCGCAGUUGGAUGUCAGGAGAUUUUAAUCUCUUAAUAACACUAUUAUCACAGUCUCUCUACACUGGCGACCUAGCAUGAUGAAGACUCUCCUAGUCCUUGGGACUGGUUCUUGCUGUGACUCCGGCGAGGACGUCACAAGGCCGACUGUUGGAAUACUACAACAGCAUCAGCAAGUCCACCAGCAGUGGCUUCCGCAGAGCUCAGUGUCUCACUACAGACCGCUCCGGAAUUGCACCGUGUGACACGGAUCCUAUGUGCUGCCUGAAGGACAGUCCACGAAUCCCUGGUUCGGACUACUGCUGUCCGCCCUUCACCACACAGUAUCAGUUCAAGUCCGAGGAAGGCCUUAUCUGCGCAUGCGCCCUGUAACUGUGUAAACCAACGGUUCGUUCGUCGAGAAAAUCGUCUCAUGAUCAACAACUCUGUUUGCGGCGAACCAACUAACUGGAGGCAGACGCUUUUAUUGUUCUGCAGAGAUAUCGAUAUGGAUGAGUUAUAGUCAAGCAUCUGUCCAGAUUAUAUUUUCACAGUUUCAGUUGUUUUUUUUUUGUUUGUUUUGUUUUUUUAUAAUUUUUGUGGGGAGGGUGAGAGAGGAGCAAUCCAUCUUUUAUUAAAGAGUCUUUGUCCUGCAAAUUCGUUUCUUUUUGUUGGUAAUUGUAUUUUAAUGUGAUUACCUUACACUCAAGAAAAUUAUUCGCAUUGACAUUCUGGUUAUUCAACAAUCAGUAAAGUAGAUUAGUAAAAAAUUAACUUUGAUUUUAAAAUUUGUAUUGAAUGAAAUAAAAAUGCAUUAAAUGAUG
This is a long non-coding RNA of Pomacea canaliculata, 938 nucleotides long. RefSeq lists it as uncharacterized. The record is from RefSeq and is a predicted model, not a curated record. The transcript is spliced from 3 exons. NCBI's taxonomy places the organism in Eukaryota, Metazoa, Mollusca, Gastropoda, Architaenioglossa, Ampullariidae.